Molecule: long non-coding RNA, 400 nt
Organism: Nymphalis io (European peacock)
Lineage: Eukaryota; Metazoa; Arthropoda; Insecta; Lepidoptera; Nymphalidae
Exons: 2
Source: RefSeq, a predicted model, not a curated record
UGUCCCGUCAGCUCGUACGCUUUUGACACCUGUUUGAAUUCGCCGGUCCGUGUGAAACAGACCUCCAUUACUUUGACGUCUGGCGAAAAACCUGUAGCGACUACGAAACGGCCGCAUGGUGAUAUUUUAGCUGUGUGUGUAUUCAUAAGGACAUCAAGAAUUUACCAUUGCUGGAAAUCCCGAAACCGAUUACAUCAUCCACGUGAGCCUGGAAAACAGUGAAAACACGCUUUGUGAAUUAUUACAUUAAGGAUAAUGGCAACAUGCAAUGAUAUAACUAAAAACUAUUGCUUUGGGAAAAUCUAAUACAGACUGCAUUUUAUCAAUUUGAAAGUUUUCGUUAUAGUUACAACAUGAAAUAAAUAAAAAACACAGAAAUUGAACUUUAAGGACACCGAAA